Molecule: transfer RNA, 69 nt
Filed under: Rhynchoconger ectenurus
Lineage: Eukaryota; Metazoa; Chordata; Actinopteri; Anguilliformes; Congridae
Description: tRNA-Asp
Rfam family: tRNA
About the family: Transfer RNA (tRNA) molecules are approximately 80 nucleotides in length. Their secondary structure includes four short double-helical elements and three loops (D, anti-codon, and T loops). Further hydrogen bonds mediate the characteristic L-shaped molecular structure. tRNAs have two regions of fundamental functional importance: the anti-codon, which is responsible for specific mRNA codon recognition, and the 3' end, to which the tRNAs corresponding amino acid is attached (by aminoacyl-tRNA synthetases). tRNAs cope with the degeneracy of the genetic code in two manners: having more than one tRNA (with a specific anti-codon) for a particular amino acid; and 'wobble' base-pairing, i.e. permitting non-standard base-pairing at the 3rd anti-codon position.
Source: RNAcentral
AAGACGCUAGUAAAAAAAUUACACUGCCUUGUCAAGGCAAAAUUGCUGGUUAGACCCCUGCGUGUCUUA